RNAcentral lists this ribosomal RNA (468 nucleotides) under uncultured bacterium. Its description in RNAcentral is "partial 16S ribosomal RNA". It matches the Rfam family "Bacterial small subunit ribosomal RNA", at positions 28 to 507 of the family's 1533-position model. The record is from RNAcentral.
GACGAACGCUGGCGGCGUGCUUAACACAUGCAAGUCGAACGGAAAGGCCCUGCUUUUGUGGGGUGCUCGAGUGGCGAACGGGUGAGUAACACGUGAGUAACCUGCCCUUGACUUUGUGAUAACUUCAGGAAACUGGGGCUAAUACCGGAUAGGAGCUCCUGCUGCAUGGUGGGGGUUGGAAAGUUUCGGCGGUUGGGGCUGGAAUCGCGGCUUAUCAGCUUGUUGGUGGGGUAGGGGCUUACCAAGGCUUUGACGGGUAGCCGGCCUGAGAGGGUGACCGGCCACAUUGGUACUGAGAUACGGCCCAGACUCCUACGGGAGGCAGCAGUGGGGAAUAUGGCACAAUGGGCGGAAGCCUGAUGCAGCAACGCCGCGUGCGGGAUGACGGCCUUCGGGUUGUAAACCGCUUUCGCCUGUGACGAAGCGUGAGUGACGGUAAUGGGUAAAGAAGCACCGGCUAACUACGUG